This 253-nucleotide ribosomal RNA is filed under the name uncultured bacterium. RNAcentral describes it as "partial 16S ribosomal RNA". It matches the Rfam family "Bacterial small subunit ribosomal RNA", at positions 524 to 776 of the family's 1533-position model. The record is from RNAcentral.
UACAGAGGUCUCAAGCGUUGUUCGGAAUCACUGGGCGUAAAGCGUGCGUAGGCUGUUUCGUAAGUCGUGUGUGAAAGGCGCGGGCUCAACCCGCGGACGGCACAUGAUACUGCGAGACUAGAGUAAUGGAGGGGGAACCGGAAUUCUCGGUGUAGCAGUGAAAUGCGUAGAUAUCGAGAGGAACACUCGUGGCGAAGGCGGGUUCCUGGACAUUAACUGACGCUGAGGCACGAAAGCCAGGGGAGCGAAAGGG